This 71-nucleotide transfer RNA is filed under the name Loxodonta africana (African savanna elephant). It matches the Rfam family "tRNA". Rfam says of the family: Transfer RNA (tRNA) molecules are approximately 80 nucleotides in length. The record is from Rfam by way of RNAcentral. Lineage: Eukaryota; Metazoa; Chordata; Mammalia; Proboscidea; Elephantidae.
GCAGUGGUGGUUCAAGGGCAGGAUUUUCACCUUCCAAAUGGGAGAUCUGGGUUUGGUUCCCAGCCAAUGCA